GCGCGAAAACUUUACAAUGCACGAAAGUGUGAUAAGGGAAUCCUAAGUGCUCAUGCACAGCAUGGGCUUUUGCCAAGGGUAAAUACCUUGGAGAAUAAGUGGUGGGUAAGACUGGUGCCAGCAGCCGCGGUAACCCCAGCGCCACAAGUGGGAGCCACAAUUAUUUGGCCUAAAGCGUCCGUAGCUGGCUUGGUAAAUCUUUUGUGAAAUCGAAGAGCUCAACUUUUCGGCAUGCAGGAGACACUGCCUCGCUUGAGACCGGGAGGGGUAAGGAGUAUUCCUGGGGAACCGGUAAAAUGGGAUAAUCCUAGGAAGACUACCUGUGGCGAAGGCGCCUUACCAGAACGGCUCUGACAGUGAGGGACGAAGGCUAGGGGAGCGAACCGG
This 387-nucleotide ribosomal RNA is filed under the name uncultured euryarchaeote. RNAcentral's name for it is "bacterial SSU rRNA". It matches the Rfam family "Archaeal small subunit ribosomal RNA", at positions 339 to 727 of the family's 1478-position model. Lineage: Archaea; Methanobacteriati; Methanobacteriota. The record is from RNAcentral.